AAAUCAGUGAAUCGAUUAGACAUAUUGAAUUUGAAUCGAUGUUUUGGUCAAAUUCGUUCAAAGCUACACCCUAAUACAUAGUUCUACAUGGAAGGUUCAUAUACUAUUCUUGCGUGGAAAAUUUUGUGAUGGCGCGUAAUAAACUUAUCAAUUCGAUUUAUCUUAUCCGUAUGUCAAACCGAAUUCUCCGUCCACUCAUCACUUCAUCCCUGUCAAUUGUUCGAAGUGGGAAAAUUGGUCUACGCUUUCCAGGUAUUGUUCGAAAUCGGAGGCAACUAUGACUCGAUGCUCGCCGUUCUGGUUUGCUUCUCCAGCCCUAUUAUCUGUCCAAAUGUCGGACAGCUUGUUAUAGUGUCGGCUGGUGAGCGAGCAGCCGACAGAACGUGGCGCAAACAAAAGGACUCAGACGAGGGUGAUUUAGGCAAGGGUUGGGGGCAUGGUGGCAAAUGAAAUGGAAUUAGACUAAUUUGAUAAUUGAUGUGCUAUUAUUCAGAUCGCUUAAUCAGGUGAUUACAGUGCUAUCCACUUAAAGUGGUAGUAUGGAAUUCGAAAGCUGCCAAAAAGAACCGCGAGGUGCAUAGUGGUGGAAUGUUUGAAAUUUCAAAACGGCAUGAAGUCAACAGCUAGCCAGGGAUUGAAUGCGGCACAGUGGCACAAGAUAGCCAUCCGACGGAGGAGCGAAAAAUAACGACUGUAUAAUCGAAGAUAAUUACACAUAAAUUUCAGUUUGCCUGACGUUUCCCUCGUCGUGCGGGUGAUUAAUGUAUUUGAAGAGUAUCUCAGUUGGCCAUGUUCGCCGGGAAUCAUCCAAGCAAGCGAGCAAGCAAGCGAGAUGUGCAUGAGUGCGAGUGUGUGUGCCCAAGUGAGUCUGAUUCGGCGCACCGCUCUUCGACCAUGUCCUCUCAAUGCGCGGGGCUGACUUCGCAUCCCCACAAAGAGCUUUUUUAUGCUGUGCUGCGAACCGGAGCAUCCGACGCUAACGGCGUGAGCAAGGUACCUCUUUAGCGACAAACGGCGACACAUGACAUUGUGGGCUUCAUCGAGAUUUAUACCCUCGGCAGCGACAGCGGCAGCGGCAAAGAACGAAAGAGGAUCCUCAAGGUGGAAAGACAAGCCAGCAGACAAAGUGGUCAACAAAUGUGCGAAGCGGAAACGCCAACAGAAGAAAAAGCGAAAUAUAUAUUCCGACAACAUGACAAACAACAUUGGACAGCCAGCGGCGACGCCAUUCCUCUGACAUAGGGUGAUAAUUGAAAGGCUCAGUAAUUAACUAAUAAAUUACAGAAACGAGAAUAACUUGAAUUGUACUCAGGCUUGGGUUUCUUUAUAAAAUCAUUUAUUUCUUCUUCUUUAUUUCUUUCCGUACGCUUAAAGAUAAUUAAUAGAGUUUUUACGGCUUGCUACUGUUAUUUAUAUAUCAUUUUUCAUUCCUACAAUUUUUAUGUUAUCUGUACAUUUUGUCCUUUGUUCUGUAUUCGCAAUGAAAGAAUCACUACAGUCUUUAGCUCUUGUGUUUGAGUGGCAAAUGGAAAGUCUUUAACAAGCAAAAACAAACAAAUCAAACUUAAACUAAAAUGUUUGGCAAUUAUGUU
This 1592-nucleotide long non-coding RNA is filed under the name Aedes aegypti (yellow fever mosquito). RNAcentral describes it as "lncRNA AAEL025505". Lineage: Eukaryota; Metazoa; Arthropoda; Insecta; Diptera; Culicidae. The record is from RNAcentral.